Molecule: ribosomal RNA, 492 nt
Filed under: uncultured bacterium
Lineage: Bacteria
Description: partial 16S ribosomal RNA
Rfam family: Bacterial small subunit ribosomal RNA
Source: RNAcentral
AGUGAACGCUGGCGGUAGGCCUAACACAUGCAAGUCGAACGGCAGCGCAGUAAGAGCUUGCUCUUACGGGUGGCGAGUGGCGGACGGGUGAGGAAUACAUCUGAAUCUACUUUUUCGUGGGGGAUAACGUAGGGAAACUUACGCUAAUACCGCAUACGACCUACGGGUGAAAGCAGGGGAUCUUCGGACCUUGCGCGAUUGAAUGAGCCGAUGUCGGAUUAGCUAGUUGGCGGGGUAAAGGCCCACCAAGGCGACGAUCCGUAGCUGGUCUGAGAGGAUGAUCAGCCACACUGGAACUGAGACACGGUCCAGACUCCUACGGGAGGCAGCAGUGGGGAAUAUUGGACAAUGGGCGCAAGCCUGAUCCAGCCAUACCGCGUGGGUGAAGAAGGCCUUCGGGUUGUAAAGCCCUUUUGUUGGGAAAGAAAAGCAGCAGGUUAAUACCCCGCUGUUCUGACGGUACCCAAAGAAUAAGCACCGGCUAACUUCGUG